Long non-coding RNA from Biomphalaria glabrata, 981 nucleotides. RefSeq lists it as uncharacterized. The record is from RefSeq and is a predicted model, not a curated record. The transcript has 5 exons. NCBI's taxonomy places the organism in Eukaryota, Metazoa, Mollusca, Gastropoda, Planorbidae.
AAAUUAAAAACUUUCCUACAUUAAUUGGGUUAACCUUACUUUGAAUGAAAAAAAUAUAUGAAAGUGUUAAAAAAUUAAUGAUAAUCACUGUUCAUGAACCAGAAGUAAGUCCUAAUCAUUCUUCAUUGUAUUACUCAGGGUCUGUUCCAUCACAUCCAGUCAAUAAAGGAAUAAUAUCUAUGAUGUCAGACAACAAUAAAGACCCAUUUCUGUAGAAGAAGAUCUCACUACCAUGAACACUCUAGGGCUAGGGGACAUGAUGCCAGUAAAAUGAGAAAAUAGAGUGGAAGAAAGUCCAAAGUUUGUUUUGCUCCCUAUUCAAUAGAGAACAAAGUUAACAUUAGCGAUGGAGAUAAAAGGAAUCUCUAAAACAAUAAUUCUUAUCAAAAUCCAACAAUCUCUAUUCAAAAUAUUAAUCUAAGCAGUAACAUGACAACUAUUUGAACCAAAGAGUGAAGCUCACGUGAGGACAGUUUUCAACACUAGAGUUACAGUACUAGUCCUCGGUGGAAUCAAGGAGUCAUUAAAGAAUCAUUCUGGAAGAUCAAAUUAAUACAAGCACUGAACAGCAGACAGGAAUGGAAAAUAUGGCCAACAGAUCAUGUGUGGUGCCCCAAUGGUCCAACAACUGAGGGAUAGGUGAAUGUGAUAAUACAUAAUAGAUCAAAGGAAUGUACAUGCUGCUUCCAGAUCAGUGUUCUUAGUUCCGCUAAUGAUCUACUAUUGCACAAUAAAUAAGCAAAGUCCUGAAAAGCCUGCAGAAUCUGGGAGCACACUUUAGUUAAUAAGCAGGGUGUCAUAUGGCCUGCACAAUGAUCAACAGUUAGCAGUAAAGACAUCCUUCAAUGAAGCAGCCCUAUUUACGCCAAGAUAACAAUGUCUUUUUUAGUACUGUAUUGUAUAUUAUUUUACACCUUAAUUUUUAGUCUUAACUAUUGGUCACUGUAAAAAAAAACUAAGUAAAAUAUUUUUAGAGCUAUA